UUCGCGGCCUAUCAGCUUGUUGGUUGAGGUAGUGGCUCACCAAGGCGACGACGUUGUAGCCGGCCUGAGAGGGCGACCGGCCACACUGGGACUGAGAUACGGCCCAGACUCCUACGGGAGGCAGCAGUGGGGAAUAUUGCACAAUGGGCGCAAGCCUGAUGCAGCAACGCCGCGUGCGGGAUGACGGCCUUCGAGUUGUAAACCGCUUUCACCCAUGACGAAGCGCAAGUGACGGUAGUGGGAGAAGAAGCACCGGCUAACUACGUGCCAGCAGCCGCGGUGAUACGUAGGGUGCGAGCGUUGUCCGGAUUUAUUGGGCGUAAAGAGCUCGUAGGCGGUUUGUCGCGUCGGAAGUGAAAACUUGGGGCUUAACCCUGAGCUUGCUUUCGAUACGGGCAGACUUGAGGAAUGUAGGGGAGAAUGGAAUUCUUGGUGGAGCGGUGGAAUGCGCAGAUAUCAGGAGGAACACCAGUGGCGAAGGCGGUUCUCUGGACAUUUCCUGACGCUGAGGAGCGAAAGCGUGGGUAGCAAACAGGCUUAGAUACCCUGGUAGUCCACGCCGUAAACGGUGGGUACUAGGUGUGGGUCUCAUUCCACGAGAUCCGUGCCGCAGCUAACGCAUUAAGUACCCCGCCUGGGGAGUACGGA
This 648-nucleotide ribosomal RNA is filed under the name uncultured Actinomycetes bacterium. RNAcentral's name for it is "bacterial SSU rRNA". It matches the Rfam family "Bacterial small subunit ribosomal RNA", at positions 230 to 886 of the family's 1533-position model. Lineage: Bacteria; Bacillati; Actinomycetota; Actinomycetes. The record is from RNAcentral.